Molecule: ribosomal RNA, 337 nt
Filed under: uncultured Anaerolineaceae bacterium
Lineage: Bacteria; Bacillati; Chloroflexota; Anaerolineae; Anaerolineales; Anaerolineaceae
Description: bacterial SSU rRNA
Rfam family: Bacterial small subunit ribosomal RNA
Source: RNAcentral
GACAGGUGCUGCAUGGCUGUCGUCAGCUCGUGUCGUGAGAUGUUCGGUUAAGUCCGCUAACGAGCGCAACCCUCGCUGUGUGUUACAAGUGUCACACGGAACUGCCGGUCAUAAACCGGAGGAAGGUGGGGAUGACGUCAAGUCAGCAUGGCCUUUAUAUCCUGGGCUACACACACGCUACAAUGGGAAGGGACAAUAGGUUGCGAAGCCGCGAGGUGGAGCCAAUCCAGCAAAACUUCCCUCAGUUCAGAUUGCAGGCUGCAACUCGCCUGCAUGAAGUUGGAGUUGCUAGUAAACGCAGGUCAGCCAUACUGCGUUGAAUACGUUCCCGGGGCUU